AUGGCUUUGUUCAGUGAUGCAACUAAAAUACGACUCCAGUUUUUAAUAGAUCGUAUUAUAUGCAAGGGCACCGUUUCAGUUGAGUGUUUAACAUAACAUAAAUACCAAUUUCUGAUGUCUAUUUAUAAAAUGAAAGUAUAUCAAGCCCGGUUGCCCUCCUUCGAUCCUAUAUAUAUAUAAUAAUAAUAUGUAAAUUUUACACGAAUCGGAUUUUUAUUAAUACCAAUGAUUGGUGCUCGGAAAUGAAUUGAAGGAUACAGCCCAGAAUUUGAAGCAUAAGCUCUUUUGUGGCGUAGUUUUAACCCGUGGUAUAGAAAAGAAAUAUUUGUUUACCGAAUGGCGGGUCGAACGUCAAAGUAAUAUUCCGCCUCUGAAGUAUGUGCGGAUAUCCGAUCCAGACAGGGUGUUCAGUGAAAAGAUAAUUGGGAAUAUAAAUUAAAUUAUGUAUGUUCAGACUAUACCGUAAUUGGUAUAAAGAAUAUCGCUACAAUAUUCACGACAAGGUUAGACUUAGCCAGGGAAUAGUGACGAAGUUUACAUUCACCGUCCGGCCAAAAACAUAACCCAAAUGCUAAAAAUUAAUGCAUUGAUUGACGAUACACCACAAAGAGACCGACCAUCUGAUAAAGAUAUUGAAGGUGGUUGCCGUCUUGAUCAUGAAUAUUCACCAAAACCUUGCAGAAAAUGUAACUUCAAACACCGUUCAUCGAUUCUAGACUAAAACAUCAACACAGCUUCCCAGGUAAUAGAGAGAAAAAGAACGAGCGAGUUGCUAUAAAUAGACGAACUUCAUGAGAGGCAAAAAUCAAUUCUACCAUCUUCUUAACGUGCAAAGGGGGGCGGGGAGCAUAUUAUAUUAUGCGAACUUGCCUGAAAAAACACGGUUCAUACCACUGGAAAUGGUAUGGCCUUGGGAAAGUCACUAUGAUAUAUCCCAGUUGAACACGUCAUGUAUUAACAGCAAAUACGAGUAUGGCAAACAACUAAAUUAUAUGAAAUUCAAACCGAUCGAAGUUGCACACCUUUUAAUAUCGCGAUUAUUUUCUAUGAGCCUUUGUUUGAUAACCGAUGAAGAAACUGUCGAUCAUCGGUAACUUUGAUAGAAUAUCAAGAUGAUUAUGCUGAUUGAAUAUUGAUCUCUAGCGAGACAACCUUGCUUGUAGAUAAUCAACCGUGCAAUGAUAGACAUGUUAAUACAUAUACAGUGUAACCCAUAAUGGUCAAGGUCACUUGUUGUUUCAUUGGACCUUUACCAACUUAAUUGAUUAAUUCUUGAAUGGUGUAUAUAAAAUUGAUAGGAUAGGUAAUUAUAAAUAUUGUAGCUAUUGCGGCUUCUAUACAUUCGGUAAUGUUUAUUGCCCACUCUCGAUCGUCUAGAUCUCUGUGAUACAAUCGACAUUCCUAUAUAAAUUCAGAUAAUUUCUGACCAGUUUGGAAUAUUUAUCCGAAUAUUGAUUAAAGCUUAAUAAAAUAUAACGUCACUGUUAACAUGUAACCGUGGAAGAAAUAGGAAAUGCCUAGAAAAAUCCUUCCAGAUUGGACAAGCUACACAUUGGCAUGUACAAACGUGGGAUGAAACCGCGGCAAUGGUGAUCAACAGCAAAACGCCACUCACGCACCACCAUGCACACUGGACCCUAGGGACCCCCUCCUGGAAAUUAACAAAAUGAAAUCCCCAUAUUAAGACCACCUGUGAAACUGUCUAGAUCUGGUCUUAAUAGUGUGGUGGUCUUGCUACUGAGUGAGCAUUCUUUGGGCAAUUUGAAUGAAAUACUGACACAGUGUUAUGUAAAUUGUUAUGUAUUUUGUUAUGUAUAUUUAGGCAUUUUUAUUAUUUAUUUUUUUAGUCUAAGUUAAGAUACUAAUAUUACAAAGUAUAAACAAAUACAUGUAAUAAUAAUUAUACAUGAUAAAAAAAACCCAAUUAUUAAGUGAUUGAACUUCCUAGAUAAUUGAGAAAUGGUAUGAUAGCCUCACUAUCUGAGGAUAAAGGAAGUAAAUUAUAGACUUAUGUCUACUGAGUUAUAUAUACAUUACUGGAAGAAACCAUAAACAUUCUCUGCUGUCGUUUUUUUUCUUCUUCUUCAAACGACUUAGAUCUCUAAAAUGCCACCACAAAUCAGCCCUGAGUUUGCUUGGCCAUUUGUAUCUUACUACAAUAGACAAUUGAAUUAGUGUAAUGCAGGUUUGUCUGCGCAGAAUAUCAAUCUUGUGUGUCAAACUUUACUUUUCUUUCGUGUCUUGUUUGGACUAGCAUGGCACAGCCCUUGACCACUAUUAAUACAGACAUCUUCAAUCCACAGACGAAUUAUAAUUUGUUACAACUGCGUACAUAAAAGAGAUGUCGCAUCUAAUAAAUGAUAAUAAAGACAUUAGAAAAAGUUCAGAUUUCCACGUUUAAGUGCUACCCUCAAUUAAACCAUGCGUUCAUAAUAACACCAAUACUGACACAUCUUACGUUUGUAGUAAA
Molecule: long non-coding RNA, 2470 nt
Organism: Patella vulgata (common limpet)
Lineage: Eukaryota; Metazoa; Mollusca; Gastropoda; Patellidae
Exons: 3
Source: RefSeq, a predicted model, not a curated record